RNAcentral lists this ribosomal RNA (322 nucleotides) under Sandonidae sp. Its description in RNAcentral is "SSU rRNA". The stretch from base 112 to 322 matches the Rfam family "Eukaryotic small subunit ribosomal RNA", at positions 744 to 955 of the family's 1831-position model. The record is from RNAcentral. Lineage: Eukaryota; Cercozoa; Glissomonadida; Sandonidae.
GAUUUCUGGCUUGAUACAUUUUGCCGGCCACGGUUUCGUGUGUUAGUGCUUGAUGUUCUGGCCAUCCUUCCAAUUGCCACGUACUCUUCUUCAUUGAUUGGUGCGUGGUGUUGGAUCUUUUACUUUGAAAAAAUUAGAGUGUUUCAAGCAGGCUUUAUGCUAUGAAUACAUUAGCAUGGAAUAAUAAUUUAGGACUUCGGUUCUAUUUUGUUGGUUUCUAGGACUGAAGUAAUGAUUGAUAGGGAUAGUUGGGGGUGCUAGUAUUCAGCGGCCAGAGGUGAAAUUCUCGGAUUCGCUGAAGACUAACUUAUGCGAAAGCAUU